Molecule: ribosomal RNA, 465 nt
Filed under: Vreelandella stevensii
Lineage: Bacteria; Pseudomonadati; Pseudomonadota; Gammaproteobacteria; Oceanospirillales; Halomonadaceae
Description: partial 16S ribosomal RNA
Rfam family: Bacterial small subunit ribosomal RNA
Source: RNAcentral
CCUACGGGUGGCAGCAGUGGGGAAUAUUGGACAAUGGGGGCAACCCUGAUCCAGCCAUGCCGCGUGUGUGAAGAAGGCCCUCGGGUUGUAAAGCACUUUCAGUGAGGAUGAACGCCUGGUGGUUAAUACCCAUCAGGAAAGACAUCACUCACAGAAGAAGCACCGGCUAACUCCGUGCCAGCAGCCGCGGUAAUACGGAGGGUGCGAGCGUUAAUCGGAAUUACUGGGCGUAAAGCGCGCGUAGGUGGCUUGAUAAGCCGGUUGUGAAAGCCCCGGGCUCAACCUGGGAACGGCAUCCGGAACUGUCAAGCUAGAGUGCAGGAGAGGAAGGUAGAAUUCCCGGUGUAGCGGUGAAAUGCGUAGAGAUCGGGAGGAAUACCAGUGGCGAAGGCGGCCUUCUGGACUGACACUGACACUGAGGUGCGAAAGCGUGGGUAGCAAACAGGAUUAGAUACCCUUGUAGUC